Hemicordylus capensis (graceful crag lizard) is the source of this 463-nucleotide long non-coding RNA. RefSeq lists it as uncharacterized. The record is from RefSeq and is a predicted model, not a curated record. The transcript is spliced from 3 exons. NCBI's taxonomy places the organism in Eukaryota, Metazoa, Chordata, Lepidosauria, Squamata, Cordylidae.
CUUGUAGCCACCCGCCGCCGGGGAAGAAGCCAACCUGUAUCCCGGCGGGGUGGCCACGCGGAAUGAGGAAGCUGAGGACGAAGGAGGGGAGCCUGGCUUGUAGGGAGCCGGUGGCUGGAAGGGCUGUAGACACUGGGCGAAGUGCUCCGGUUAUCCUGGUCGAUGUCACGGGGGUCACUGCUUGUCUCAUCAUUGAAGCUGUGGCCAUCUAGGCUGUCGACAUCUGAGGGAGACUGAGGUCUUGGGAGUUCCUGGAUUGGAGAGAUUGGCAGGACAGUACUGAGCAGAGACUGGACAUGGCUAUGGCGACACAGCUGGAAUAGCAGCUGCAGCCUGGAGUUUGGAAAACAGAGGACAAGAGUAGGAAGACAUGGUAGUUGGCCGGUCAGAUACAGGUGUCCUACCUUGGUGGGUUGUCGAGAUUUCUCAGCUUUGCCAUCGCUGCUGGAGGUGCUAACACCAC